This 961-nucleotide ribosomal RNA is filed under the name uncultured archaeon. Its description in RNAcentral is "bacterial SSU rRNA". It matches the Rfam family "Archaeal small subunit ribosomal RNA", at positions 1 to 922 of the family's 1478-position model. The record is from RNAcentral.
UUUCCGGUUGAUCCUGCCGGAGGCUACUGCUAUUGGAAUCCGAUUAAGCCAUGCGAGUCUAAAGGACUCCGGUCCUUGGCGGACGGCUCAGUAACACGUGGAGAACCUGCCCUCAGGAGGGGGAUAACCCCGGGAAACUGGGAAUAAUACCCCAUAGGUCUAGAAUGCUGGAAUGCUUCUAGGCCGAAAGCUCCGGCGCCUGAGGAUGGCUCUGCGGCUUAUCAGGUUGUAGUGAGGGUAACGUCCUCACUAGCCUAUGACGGGUACGGGCCCUGAGAGGGGAAGCCCGGAGAUGGACUCUGAGACACGAGUCCAGGCCCUACGGGGCGCAGCAGGCGCGAAAACUCCGCAAUGCUCGAAAGAGUGACGGGGGGAUUCCAAGUGCCUACGCUCAGCGUAGGCUGUUCAGAUGCCUAAAAAGCAUCUGGAGUAAGGGCUGGGUAAGACGGGUGCCAUCUGCAGUGGUAGCGAAAGAUUUGGCUUGCUACUGCAAGGCAUAAGCCGCCGCGGUAACACCCGCAGCUCGAGUGGUAGUCGAUUUUAUUGGGCCUAAAGCGUCCGUAUCCGGUCUGGUAAAUGCCUGGGUAAAUCGUCUGGCUUAACCAGACGAAUUCCGGGUAGACUGCCAGACUUGGGACCGGUUGAGGAAGAGGGUACUUCAGGGGUAGGAGUGAAAUCCUGUAAUCCUUGAAGGACCACCAGUGGCGAAGGCGCUCUUCUAGGACGGGUCCGACGGUGAGGGACGAAAGCCAGGGGAGCAAACCGGAUUAGAUACCCGGGUAGUCCUGGCCGUAAACGAUGUGGGCUUGGCAUUGGGGGUUCUACGUGAGCGCCCAGUGUCGUAGCGAAGGCGUUAAGCCCACCGCCUGGGAAGUAUGGUCGCAAGGCUGAAACUUAAAGGAAUUGGCGGGGGAGCACAGCAACGGGAGGAGCGUGCGGUUUAAUUGGAUUCAACGCCGGA